GAUGAACGCUGGCGGCGGGCCUAAUACAUGCAAGUCGAGCGAACAGACGAGGAGCUUGCUCCUCUGACGUUAGCGGCGGACGGGUGAGGAACACGUGGAUAACCUACCUAUAAGACUGGGAUAACGUCGGGAAACCGGAGCUAAUACCGGAUAAUAUAGUGAACCGCAUGGUUCAAUAGUGAAAGACGGUUUUGCUGUCACUUAUAGAUGGAUCCGCGCCGCAUUAGCUAGUUGGUAAGGUAACGGCUUACCAAGGCAACGAUGCGUAGCCGACCUGAGAGGGUGAUCGGCCACACUGGAACUGAGACACGGUCCAGACUCCUACGGGAGGCAGCAGUAGGGAAUCUUCCGCAAUGGGCGAAAGCCUGACGGAGCAACGCCGCGUGAGUGAUGAAGGUCUUCGGAUCGUAAAACUCUGUUAUUAGGGAAGAACAAAUGUGUAAGUAACUAUGCACGUCUUGACGGUACCUACUCAGAAAGCCACGGCUAACUACGUG
RNAcentral lists this ribosomal RNA (497 nucleotides) under uncultured bacterium. RNAcentral describes it as "partial 16S ribosomal RNA". It matches the Rfam family "Bacterial small subunit ribosomal RNA", at positions 28 to 507 of the family's 1533-position model. The record is from RNAcentral.